UUUGCCUACGGGACGCAGCAGUGAGGAAUAUUGGUCAAUGGGAGAGAUCCUGAACCAGCCAAGCCGCGUGAGGGAAGACGGCCCUAUGGGUUGUAACCCUCUUUUGUCGGAGAACAAAACCCGGGACGAGUCCCGGGCUGCGUGUAUCCGAAGAAAAAGCAUCGGCUAACUCCGUGCCAGCAGCCGCGGUAAUACGGAGGAUGCGAGCGUUAUCCGGAUUUAUUGGGGUUAAAGGGUGCGUAGGCGGUCCGUUAAGUCAGCGGUAAAAUUGCGGGGCUCAACCCCGUCGAG
This 291-nucleotide ribosomal RNA is filed under the name uncultured bacterium. Its description in RNAcentral is "partial 16S ribosomal RNA". It matches the Rfam family "Bacterial small subunit ribosomal RNA", at positions 334 to 622 of the family's 1533-position model. The record is from RNAcentral.